RNAcentral lists this RNase P RNA (375 nucleotides) under Terribacillus aidingensis. RNAcentral's name for it is "RNase P RNA component class B". It matches the Rfam family "Bacterial RNase P class B". From Rfam's summary of the family: Ribonuclease P (RNase P) is a ubiquitous endoribonuclease, found in archaea, bacteria and eukarya as well as chloroplasts and mitochondria. Its best characterised activity is the generation of mature 5'-ends of tRNAs by cleaving the 5'-leader elements of precursor-tRNAs. Cellular RNase Ps are ribonucleoproteins. The record is from RNAcentral. Lineage: Bacteria; Bacillati; Bacillota; Bacilli; Caryophanales; Bacillaceae.
GUGUUUGAGUAAUCGCUGCAGCAAUGCAGAGGAAAGUCCAUGCUCACACAGACUGAGAUGUCUGUAGUGUUCGUGCUUGGCGAAUUCAUAAGCCAAGGUAGCAUUAUAUGCUAACGGCAGGCAGAACGCCUAAGUCUUUGGAUAUGGCCGACAUGUCUUGAAAGUGCCACAGUGACGUAGUCAGCUUGGAAACAUGCUGAGUGGAACGAGGUAAACCCCACGAGUGAGCAACCCAAAUGUUGGUAGGGGCACCCUUGAUUAUGGGAAUUCAACCUAAAAAGGGACAGGCAAUACGCUUGUAGAUAGAUGAUUACUGCCGUUGUACGAGGCUGACCACCGCUCGCAGUGCAUCGGUACAGAACAUGGCUUACAGAA